Molecule: ribosomal RNA, 869 nt
Filed under: uncultured archaeon
Lineage: Archaea
Description: bacterial SSU rRNA
Rfam family: Archaeal small subunit ribosomal RNA
Source: RNAcentral
CUCCGGUUGAUCCUGCCGGACCUGACUGCUAUCGGAUUGGUACUAAGCCAUGCGAGUCGUUGUAGCAAUACAAGGCGGACGGCUCAGUAACACGUAGUCAACCUAACCUAUGGACGUGGAUAACCUCGGGAAACUGAGAAUAAACCGCGAUAGAUCAUUAUGCCUGGAAUGGCUUAUGGUUCAAACAAUUUAUUGCCGUAGGAUGGGACUGCGGCCUAUCAGCUUGUUGGUGAGGUAAUGGCCCACCAAGGCUAUAACAGGUACGGGCUCUGAGAGGAGAAGCCCGGAGAUGGGUACUGAGACACGGACCCAGGCCCUAUGGGGCGCAGCAGGCGAGAAACCUUAGCAAUGUGCGAAAGCACGACUAGGUUAAUCCGAGUGAUUUCUGUUGAAGAAAUCUUUUGUCAGUCGUAAAACCACAGACGAAUAAGGGGUGGGCAAGUCUGGUGUCAGCCGCCGCGGUAAUACCAGCACCUCGAGUGGUCGGGGCGAUUAUUGGGCCUAAAGCAUCCGUAGCCGGUUCCGUAGGUCUCCUGCAAAAUCCAGUCGCUCAACGAUUGGCGCGCAGGAGAUACCGCGGGACUAGGAGGCGGGAGAGGUGGACGGUACUCCACGUGUAGGGGUAAAAUCCUUUGAUCCGUGGAAGACCACCAGUGGCGAAGGCGGUUCACCAGAACGCGCUCGACGGUGAGGGAUGAAAGCUGGGGGAGCGAACCGGAUUAGAUACCCGGGUAGUCCCAGCCGUAAACGAUGCGAGCUAGAUGAUCCAGUCGCAAAUCGCGACUGGAGUGUCGCAGGGAAGCCGUUAAGCUCGCCGCCUGGGGAGUACGGUCGCAAGACUGAAACUUAAAGGAAUUGGCGGGGGAGCA